CUUCUACACUUUUCUUUAAUGGCUUCUUCCCAUUUCGUGAUCUUCGUUAUAUUGUUAACAUUGUCGUUUUCAUGCAUUGGUGUUGCGACAGCAGGUCGUCGGCUGCAGCAACUGUUUGCCAACUUCCCUCCAUUGGAUCUUCCUCCAUUGCCUAAAACUCCAAAUGAUUUUCCUGUGCCACCAGUUGUGAAGUUGCCUCCUGGGCUGCUUCCUUCUAGACUUCCCUAUUCUUUUUUUCCCUUUCCACCAGCUGCUCCUUAAUUCAUUUUCCCACAAGGCCAUGAGAUUGGACAAGUGUGUUACCAAUACUAGUGAUCAAAAUAAGUGUCUUCAAUUAAUAAAUGUCCAUGAAUGUGAUGUAUAAUUGUCUAUUCAAUUAAUAAAUGUCCAUGAAUGUGAUGUAUCAUGUGGCCAUUUUAUCUUGGUUUGUAAUUUUUUAGGCCAGGUACAAUGCUUUUUUUUUUUUUUACCUUUAAUUAUAAAUCGCAUUUUAUCAAACUCUAUUGAAUAUAUAAUUUAAUUCUAGAGAGAGAAAAAUGAGGAGUCGAAAUUACAUAAAUCCCCAUAUCUAAGACAGACCAAUGAGGAGCUGACCAAAGAAAAUCUUAAUACAGUGACAAAGUCAUCUCAGCGAGUUAGCCCUUACUCUGAUAAUGCGUCUGCAACUGAGUAUACAUCAUAAAGAGUAUGGCAAAAACAAUUGGAGGCAUAGCAUCCGUACAUUCAAUAAUGAAAUUAGUAGAUGAAGUAUAUUGGUGGAGGGAUGAAUCUGGAUAAGAGACACAUGGAGUUAUUCAUGCAUCAGCCCUUCAACUUAGAGCCUGUUUGGCAUGAGUUUGGACGCCAGAAACAUAGUUUUUAGAAAAAGCUAAAAGAAUACUUUGUAUUCAUGUGGUGAACGAGUGUCAUGUUUAUUGCAGGGAAAAGAAUAAGGAAGCUACUAUUGAGAGCUGAAGUUAACAAGGACUUGCUGCUGUUGGCAGCUGAGUGAUAUUUGCUGCAACAAAUUUUCUUUAUUAAGUAAAUGAAAUUUUUGUAUAAGACAAGAUAUGUAAUCAUACUUAAGUAUGAGUUUGUUGAUUUUGUAAAGGUUUUUCUUUACCUAUAAAAGGAAGAAAUUGUGCUGUAAAAGUAAGGAGAGAAAAGAAAAAGAGAGAAGUGAUUUUCUAUAAAAGUAUUAUGAAAAGAAGAAAAAAAAAAAAAGAAAAAAUUUCUUUAUAUUACUCUAUUUUUCUUUAUUGAAAUUUCAUAUUUAUUUUCUCUUCUUCA
This 1269-nucleotide long non-coding RNA is filed under the name Manihot esculenta (cassava). RNAcentral describes it as "long non-coding RNA (MESC_LNC006158)". Lineage: Eukaryota; Viridiplantae; Streptophyta; Magnoliopsida; Malpighiales; Euphorbiaceae. The record is from RNAcentral.